Long non-coding RNA from Homo sapiens (human), 495 nucleotides. RefSeq lists it as uncharacterized. The transcript is spliced from 3 exons. NCBI's taxonomy places the organism in Eukaryota, Metazoa, Chordata, Mammalia, Primates, Hominidae. The record is from RefSeq and is a predicted model, not a curated record.
CACAAGGCCCCGCCCCCACAGCUGCCCUGCCCCACCUUUCAUUCAUUGAUAGCUUCCAGCAACUUUCAGCUUUCCUCAUUGUGAAUUAUGACUAUGAGCUAUUUUAAAAUUACUGUAACCCAACGUGCUUCAUGCACUCUCUGGGAUCCAAAGGAUCCUCUUUCCACCAUGGCUUGUGAAGGUUUUCGAAACUGGAAAGAAGACAGAUUUCUGCAGAAUCGACUCAAGGCAAGAUGCAGUAGAGAAAUGUAAGAAUCAACUAGAGGAGCCGUUUACCUAGUAGGUGCAUCUUACCAGCAAGUUCUUCAGCAUCCUUUUGAGAAGCAUUCGACAGCCAAGAAAGCAGGCUAUGCCUCACCUACUCCUUCCUGGGCUAAAGAUCUCAGACUUGGUUGCUCAUCUUAAUUCGGGAAAAAUAAAUGAAGGAAUUCUUCUAUCAUUACACACAACACAGAAUAAUCUGUUUAAGAAAUUAUUUUUGAUCAUCCACAUUUU